GGGCAUUUGUUCUAGUGGUAUGAUUCUUGCUUCAGGUGCGAGAGGUCCCGAGUUCAAUUCUUAGAAUGCCCC
Molecule: non-coding RNA, 72 nt
Organism: Picea glauca (white spruce)
Lineage: Eukaryota; Viridiplantae; Streptophyta; Pinopsida; Pinales; Pinaceae
Source: Rfam